UAACUGCGAGUGAAGCGGGAAGAGCUCAAAUUUAAAAUCUGGCGGUGUUUUACCGUCCGAAUUGUAACCUAGAGAAGUGUUGCCCGUACUGGACCAUGUAUAAGUCUCCUGGGAUGGAGCGUCACAGAGGGUGAGAAACCCGUAUUUGACAUGGACUACCAGUGCAUUGUGGUAUGCUCUCAAAGAGUUGAGUUGUUUGGGAAUGCAGCUCUAAAUGGGUGGUAAAUUCCAUCUAAAGCUAAAUAUUGGCGAGAGACCGAUAGCGAACAAGUACCGUGAGGGAAAGAUGAAAAGAACUUUGGAAAGAGAGUUAAACAGUAUGUGAAAUUGUUGAAAGGGAAACGUUUGAAGUCAGUGAUUGUUGUUCAGGGAUCAAGUCAACAAGAAUUGUUGGGUGUAUUUCCUGUUCAAUAGGCCAACAUGAGUUUUGAGUGCUGGAGAAAGGCAUAGGGAAAGUGGCACCUUUUGGGUGUGUUAUAGCCCUAAGUCAUAUGCAGCGGUUAGGACUGAGGAGGACAGCGCGCCGCAAGGCCGGGUUUCGACCACGUUCGCGCUUAGGAUGUUGGCAUUAAUGGCUUUAAACGACCCGUC
Molecule: ribosomal RNA, 591 nt
Filed under: Amanita heishidingensis
Lineage: Eukaryota; Fungi; Basidiomycota; Agaricomycetes; Agaricales; Amanitaceae
Description: eukaryotic LSU rRNA
Rfam family: Eukaryotic large subunit ribosomal RNA
Source: RNAcentral